CCUACGGGUGGCAGCAGUAGGUAAUAUUUCUCAAUUUUCUAAACCCUUCCCCCUCCCCUCCUCUUUCCUUAUUCCUUUUUUCUUCUUUUACACUCCUUUUGUUAGAGAAGAUAAUGACGGCAUCUAACGAAUAAGCACCGGCUAACACCGUGCCAGCAGCCGCGGUAAUACGGAGGGUGCAAGCGUUACUCGGAAUCACUGGGCGUAAAGAGCGCGUAGGCGGGAUAGCAAGUCAGAUGUGAAAUCCUAUGGCUUAACCAUAGAACUGCAUUUGAAACUGUUAUUCUAGAGUAUGGGAGAGGUAGGUGGAAUUCUUGGUGUAGGGGUAAAAUCCGUAGAGAUCAAGCGGAAUACUCAUUGCGAAGGCGACCUACUAGAACCUAACUGACGCUGAUGCGCGAAAGCGUGGGGAGCAAACAGGAUUAGAUACCCCUGUAGUC
This 440-nucleotide ribosomal RNA is filed under the name uncultured bacterium. RNAcentral's name for it is "partial 16S ribosomal RNA". It matches the Rfam family "Bacterial small subunit ribosomal RNA", at positions 338 to 795 of the family's 1533-position model. The record is from RNAcentral.